GUGCCCAUAGCUUAAUGGUUAAAGUUCUGGUUUGUGGAACCAGCUAUACGGGUUCAAUUCCCGUUGGGCACCCCA
RNAcentral lists this transfer RNA (75 nucleotides) under Patescibacteria group bacterium. RNAcentral's name for it is "tRNA-His". It matches the Rfam family "tRNA". From Rfam's summary of the family: Transfer RNA (tRNA) molecules are approximately 80 nucleotides in length. Their secondary structure includes four short double-helical elements and three loops (D, anti-codon, and T loops). RNAcentral also lists the same sequence under 1 other name. The record is from RNAcentral.